UUUCAACAGUGACCGAGUGUUUUAAGAACAAAUGUUUUACGCAAGAUGUUUUAAAAUAGUUAUUUUCUACAAACAAGAAGGUCUUUUCUAACCUCAUUGUUUUCUACUAUGCAGUUCCACAUCCUUCCGUGGCACUGCCGUAUACAUUUCUUUCGCACCUAAGCUUGAGAUUAUUCAAGGUCCGUAGAAAGAAAAGGUUAGCUCACUUGGGGUAAACAAACGAAAAUAUGUUCUCGCCGUCUAUUGGCUGUGACGUCACUGAAGUUCUCUCUCCUCAGAUCAACAGAGAUUUCCGCAUUAAGCUGAACGUAAGCUUAUGAUCGACUGUGGAAACUCAUUAGUUCUUUUUUUUUUUCGUUCUCAAAUAUAAUUAAAUUUAUAUAGUAUAAUGGUUGGUACACACUGCGCGAUUGCAUUAUGCACCAAUAAUGCAGGCAAAAUAAAAAAUAAUCAGCAAAAUGUAUCAUUUCAUAGGUGAAGGAAUUAUUUAAAUCGCUUGGAAAAGAAUUUUUUGCAGUAGAAUUGGACAAGAUUGCUGAGUGAAAAAGCGGUUAAAGAGAGGAGAGUCUUGCUGAAUUGCUUUAUCCCCUAUCAAACCUGGAAUGCCAAAGAAUGGCCUCAGAAGCAUGGUCCAUGCUAAGAAGAGAGGGGCUGGCAGGAGGGCAA
Long non-coding RNA from Stegodyphus dumicola, 666 nucleotides. Lineage: Eukaryota; Metazoa; Arthropoda; Arachnida; Araneae; Eresidae. The record is from RefSeq and is a predicted model, not a curated record.